Molecule: non-coding RNA, 72 nt
Organism: Ictidomys tridecemlineatus (thirteen-lined ground squirrel)
Lineage: Eukaryota; Metazoa; Chordata; Mammalia; Rodentia; Sciuridae
Source: Rfam
UGGGCUGUAGCUCAAUGGUAGAGCACUUGCCUAGCAUGUGUGAGGUCCUGGGUUUGAUCCUCAGCAUCACAU